ACAAAAAUUCCCAAUUUGAUGUGUCUGAAACAAGUCCUCAUUUACUUGGAGAAAAAAUAAAUGUUUUUGUUCUUAUAAAAACUUUAAAUUAGAUAAAUAGAUACAUAAAAUAAGGGUGAAAUCUAAGGUCAUUAAAAUAUAAGAAAAUGGUGAAAUCUAAGGUCAUUAAAACAUAAAAUAAGGGUGAAAUCUAAGGUCAUUAAAACAUAAGAUAAGGGUGAAAUCUCAGGUCAUUAAAACAUAAGAUAAGGGUGAAAUCUCAGGUCAUUAAACAUAAAAUAAGGGUGAAAUCUCAGGUCAUUAAAACAUAAAAUAAGGGUGAAAUCUAAGGUCAUUAAAACAUAAAAUAAGGGUGAAAUCUAAGGUCAUUAAAACAUAAAAUAAGGGUGAAAUCUCAGGUCAUUAAACAUAAAAUAAGGGUGAAAUCUCAGGUCAUUAAAACAUAAAAUAAGGGCGAAAUCUCAGGUCAUUAAAACAUAAAAUAAGGGUGAAAUCUCAGGUCAUUAAAACAUAAAAUAAGGGUGAAAUCUAAGGCCAUUAAAACAUAAAAUAAGGGUGAAAUCUAAGGUCAUUAAAACAUAAAAUAAGGGUGAAAUCUAAGGCCAUUAAAACACAAAAUAAGGGUGGAAUCUAAGGGCAUUAAAACAUAAAAUAAGGGUGAAAUCUAAGGUCAUUAAAACAUAAAAUAAGGGUGAAAUCUAAGGUCAUUAAAACAUUAAAUAAGGGUGAAAUCUCAGGUCAUUAAAACAUUAAAUAAGGGUGAAAUCUCAGGUCAUUAAAACAUAAAAUAAGGGUGAAAUCUAAGGUCAUUAAAACAUAAAAUAAGGGUGAAAUCUAAGGUCAUUAAAACAUAAAAUAAGGGUGAAAUCUAAGGUCAUUAAAACAUAAAAUAAGGGUGAAAUCUAAGGUCAUUAAAACAUAAAAUAAGGGUGAAAUCUCAGGUCAUUAAACAUAAAAUAAGGGUGAAAUCUCAGGUCAUUAAAACAUAAAAUAAGGGCGAAAUCUCAGGUCAUUAAAACAUAAAAUAAGGGUGAAAUCUCAGGUCAUUAAAACAUAAAAUAAGGGUGAAAUCUAAGGCCAUUAAAACAUAAAAUAAGGGUUAAAUCUAAGGUCAUUUAAACAUAAAAUAGGGGUAAAAUCUAAGGCCAUUAAAACAUAAAAUAAGGGUGAAAUCUCAGGUCAUUAAAACAUAAAAUAAGGGUGAAAUCUAAGGUCAUUAAAACAUUAAAUAAGGGUGAAAUCUAAGGUCAUUAAAACAUAAAAUAAGGGUGAAAUCUCAGGUCAUUAAAACAUAAAAUAAGGGUGAAAUCUAAGGUCAUUAAAACAUAAAAUAAGGGUGAAAUCUAAGGUCAUUAAAACAUAAAAUAAGGGUGAAAUCUAAGGUCAUUUAAACAUAAAAUAAAGGUGAAAUCUCAGGUCAUUAAAACAUAAAAUAAGGGUGAAAUCUAAGGUCAUUAAAACAUAAAGUAAGGGUGAAAUCUCAGGUCAUUAAAACAUAAAAUAAGGGUGAAAUCUCAGGUCAUUAAAACAUAAAAUAAGGGUGAAAUCUCAGGUCAUUAAAACAUAAAAUAAGGGUGAAAUCUCAGGUCAUUAAAACAUAAAAUAAGGGUGAAAUCUCAGGUCAUUAAAACAUAAAAUAAGGGUGAAAUCUCAGGUCAUUAAAACAUAAAAUAAGGGUGAAAUCUCAGGUCAUUAAAACAUAAAAUAAGGGUGAAAUCUCAGGUCAUUAAAACAUAAAAUAAGGGUGAAAUCUCAGGUCAUUAAAACAUAAAAUAAGGGUGAAAUCUCAGGUCAUUAAAACAUAAAAUAAGGGUGAAAUCUCAGGUCAUUAAAACAUAAAAUAAGGGUGAAAUCUCAGGUCAUUAAAACAUAAAAUAAGGGUGAAAUCUCAGGUCAUUAAAACAUAAAAUAAGGGUGAAAUCUAAGGUCAUUUAAACAUAAAAUAAAGGUGAAAUCUCAGGUCAUUAAAACAUAAAAUAAGGGUGAAAUCUAAGGUCAUUAAAACAUAAAGUAAGGGUGAAAUCUCAGGUCAUUAAAACAUAAAAUAAGGGUGAAAUCUCAGGUCAUUAAAACAUAAAAUAAGGGUGAAAUCUCAGGUCAUUAAAACAUAAAAUAAGGGUGAAAUCUCAGGUCAUUUAAACAUUAAAUAAGGGUUAACUCUUAGGUCAUUAAAACAUAAAAUAAGGGUGAAAUCUCAGGUCAUUAAAACAUAAAAUAAGGGUGAAAUCUCAGGUCAUUAAAACAUAAAAUAAGGGUGAAAUCUCAGGUCAUUAAAACAUAAAAUAAGGGUGAAAUCUCAGGUCAAUAAAGUGGAAAACAUAAAACAUAAGGACAGAAAACAAUAGUCCAUUUAACUUUACACAGGCAACACUAUCUAUAACACAAGGAACAGUUGAUGUAAUAUCUGAAUCUGUUAGAGGAUAACAGAGCCUGCUCAACUAAUUAGUCACCUGAA
Mytilus californianus (California mussel) is the source of this 2455-nucleotide long non-coding RNA. RefSeq lists it as uncharacterized. The record is from RefSeq and is a predicted model, not a curated record. The transcript has 6 exons. NCBI's taxonomy places the organism in Eukaryota, Metazoa, Mollusca, Bivalvia, Mytilida, Mytilidae.